RNAcentral lists this ribosomal RNA (253 nucleotides) under uncultured bacterium. RNAcentral's name for it is "partial 16S ribosomal RNA". It matches the Rfam family "Bacterial small subunit ribosomal RNA", at positions 524 to 776 of the family's 1533-position model. The record is from RNAcentral.
UACGUAGGGUGCAAGCGUUGUCCGGAAUCACUGGGCGUAAAGGGUGCGUAGGCGGGUCUUUAAGUCAGGGGUGAAAUCCUGGAGCUCAACUCCAGAACUGCCCUUGAUACUGAAGAUCUUGAGUUCGGGAGAGGUGAGUGGAACUGCGAGUGUAGAGGUGAAAUUCGUAGAUAUUCGCAAGAACACCAGUGGCGAAGGCGGCUCACUGGCCCGGUACUGACGCUGAGGUGCGAAAGCGUGGGGAGCAAACAGG